GCCCUAAUAGUAUAAACCAAUACCCUGGUCUUGUAAACCAGAAAUGAAGUCUACCACUUCUUAGAGCA
Molecule: transfer RNA, 68 nt
Filed under: Tamias canipes (gray-footed chipmunk)
Lineage: Eukaryota; Metazoa; Chordata; Mammalia; Rodentia; Sciuridae
Description: tRNA-Thr
Source: RNAcentral